RNAcentral lists this ribosomal RNA (497 nucleotides) under uncultured bacterium. RNAcentral's name for it is "partial 16S ribosomal RNA". It matches the Rfam family "Bacterial small subunit ribosomal RNA", at positions 28 to 507 of the family's 1533-position model. The record is from RNAcentral.
GAUGAACGCUGGCGGCGUGCCUAAUACAUGCAAGUCGAGCGAACAGACGAGGAUCUUGCUUCUCUGACGUUAGCGGCGGACGGGUGAGUAACACGUGGAUAACCUACCUAUAAGACUGGGAUAACUUCGGGAAACCUGAUCUAAUACCGGAUAAUAUAUUGAACCGCAUGGUUCAAUAGUGAAAGACGGUUUUGCUGUCACUUAUAGAUGGUUCCGAGCCGCAUUAGCUAGUUGGUAAGGUAACGGCUUACCAAGGCAACUAUGCGUAGCCGACCUGAGAGGGUGAUCGGCCACACUGGAACUGAGACACGGUCCAGACUCCUACGGGAGGCAGCAGUAGGGAAUCUUCCGCAAUGGGCGAAAGCCUGACGGAGCAACGCCGCGUGAGUGAUGAAGGUCUUCGGAUCGUAAAACUCUGUUAUUAGGGAAGAACAAAUGUGUAAGUAACUAUGCACGUCUUGACGGUACCUAAUCAGAAAGCCACGGCUAACUACGUG